Molecule: long non-coding RNA, 240 nt
Filed under: Fukomys damarensis (Damara mole-rat)
Lineage: Eukaryota; Metazoa; Chordata; Mammalia; Rodentia; Bathyergidae
Description: lncRNA (ENSFDAG00000022030.1)
Source: RNAcentral
UUUAUCUUAGUCAUCUAACUGCCACAGCCGGUUUCACCAUACUUUGACCUGGCUGCAGUUUCUGGAAUAAACCGCCCAGUUGCGAUUCCUGGAAACUGCUCAGUUGCAAUUCCUGAAAAACUUGGUUUUUGGUUAAUCUAUUCUUCGGCAAAGGAAGGCUAUCUUCAGAGUUUAAAGCAAACAAAGAAAAAUCCGGACACUUUUUGCACAGAAGCUCUUAUACUUCUCCCCGUCACCCAC